UGUGUGCUGAAAAGUGGCGCUGCCUUCAAGCGGAUGAACAGAGUGCUGCAUCGAUGGGAUGAAUGUUAACAUGGUGAUGCACAACAGUUCAAAUAACGUUGUGGAAGAUGUGCAAGGGUCAUUACAGGAAGGAAGGACAAGGAGGAUGCGUUUACAAAGGAGUUCACAAUGGCCGAGUGAAGAUGAAACAGACCACAUACACAAUGUACUUUGUUGUCUUCUUGACCAAAUCUCGUAUCACUUUCAACACUAUAACAACAGAAACGUUGCUAUGAAGUAAAUGGAACUUCACACUCA
Long non-coding RNA from Dermacentor andersoni, 297 nucleotides. RefSeq lists it as uncharacterized. NCBI's taxonomy places the organism in Eukaryota, Metazoa, Arthropoda, Arachnida, Ixodida, Ixodidae. The record is from RefSeq and is a predicted model, not a curated record.